This 83-nucleotide transfer RNA is filed under the name Salix viminalis (osier). It matches the Rfam family "tRNA". Rfam says of the family: Transfer RNA (tRNA) molecules are approximately 80 nucleotides in length. Their secondary structure includes four short double-helical elements and three loops (D, anti-codon, and T loops). Lineage: Eukaryota; Viridiplantae; Streptophyta; Magnoliopsida; Malpighiales; Salicaceae. The record is from RNAcentral.
GGAUGAUGUCUGAGCGGUUGAAAGAGCGGUCUUGAAAACCGAAGUAUUUUUAGGAUACCGGGGUUCGAAUCCCUCUCCAUCCG